GACGAACGCUGGCGGCGUGCCUAACACAUGCAAGUGGAGCGACGAACCAGACUUCGGUCUGGGGCCAAGCCGCGAACGGGUGAGUAACACGUGGGUAACCUGCCCCGAUGAUCGGGACAACCCGGGGAAACCCGGGCUAAUACCGAAUGUGAUCGCGGUCCGUGAGGACUGUGACGAAAGGAAGCUUCGGCCUCCGCAUCGGGAUGGGCCCGCGGCCCAUUAGCUUGUUGGUGGGGUAAUGGCCUACCAAGGCAUCGAUGGGUAGCUGGUCUGAGAGGACGAUCAGCCACACUGGGACUGUGACACGGCCCAGACUCCUACGGGAGGCAGCAGUGGGGAAUCUUGCGCAAUGCGCGAAAGCGUGACGCAGCAACGCCGCGUGGGGGAAGAAGGCUUUCGGGUCGUAAACCCCUUUCAGUUGGGACGAAGCUUCGCCGGUGAAUAGCCGGCCGGAGUGACGGUACCUUCACAAGAAGCCCCGGCUAACUACGUGCCAGCCGCCGCGGUAA
RNAcentral lists this ribosomal RNA (509 nucleotides) under uncultured bacterium. RNAcentral describes it as "partial 16S ribosomal RNA". It matches the Rfam family "Bacterial small subunit ribosomal RNA", at positions 28 to 523 of the family's 1533-position model. The record is from RNAcentral.